GCAGUCGAGCGGCAGCGGAAGUAGCUUGCUACUUUGCCGGCGAGCGGCGGACGGGUGAGUAAUGUCUGGGAAACUGCCUGAUGGAGGGGGAUAACUACUGGAAACGGUAGCUAAUACCGCAUAACGUCGCAAGACCAAAGAGGGGGACCUUCGGGCCUCUUGCCAUCAGAUGUGCCCAGAUGGGAUUAGCUAGUAGGUGGGGUAACGGCUCACCUAGGCGACGAUCCCUAGCUGGUCUGAGAGGAUGACCAGCCACACUGGAACUGAGACACGGUCCAGACUCCUACGGGAGGCAGCAGUGGGGAAUAUUGCACAAUGGGCGCAAGCCUGAUGCAGCCAUGCCGCGUGUAUGAAGAAGGCCUUCGGGUUGUAAAGUACUUUCAGCGGGGAGGAAGGCGUUGAGGUUAAUAACCUCAGCGAUUGACGUUACCCGCAGAAGAAGCACCGGCUAACUCCGUGCCAGCAGCCGCGGUAAUACGGAGGGUGCAAGCGUUAAUCGGAAUUACUGGGCGUAAAGCGCACGCAGGCGGUCUGUCAAGUCGGAUGUGAAAUCCCCGGGCUCAACCUGGGAACUGCAUUCGAAACUGGCAGGCUAGAGUCUUGUAGAGGGGGGUAGAAUUCCAGGUGUAGCGGUGAAAUGCGUAGAGAUCUGGAGGAAUACCGGUGGCGAAGGCGGCCCCCUGGACAAGACUGACGCUC
This 699-nucleotide ribosomal RNA is filed under the name uncultured bacterium. RNAcentral's name for it is "bacterial SSU rRNA". It matches the Rfam family "Bacterial small subunit ribosomal RNA", at positions 57 to 748 of the family's 1533-position model. The record is from RNAcentral.